UACGUAGGGUCCAAGCGUUAUCCGGAAUCACUGGGCGUAAAGCGUGCGUAGGUGGUCUGUUAAGUGAGAUGUGAAAGCGUGUGGCUCAACCAUAUCGUUGUGUUUCAUACUGGCAGACUAGAGGACGGCAGAGGCAAGUGGAAUUGGCAGUGUAACAGUGAAAUGCGUAGAGAUUGCCAGGAACACCAAUGGCGGAGGCAGCUCUCUGGGUCUCUACCGACGCUGGGGUGCGAAAGCAUGGGGAGCGAACAGG
RNAcentral lists this ribosomal RNA (253 nucleotides) under uncultured bacterium. RNAcentral's name for it is "partial 16S ribosomal RNA". It matches the Rfam family "Bacterial small subunit ribosomal RNA", at positions 524 to 776 of the family's 1533-position model. The record is from RNAcentral.